Molecule: long non-coding RNA, 1485 nt
Filed under: Anser cygnoides (Swan goose)
Lineage: Eukaryota; Metazoa; Chordata; Aves; Anseriformes; Anatidae
Description: lncRNA (ENSACDG00005000936.1)
Source: RNAcentral
GACAAUUCUCCCUCUAGAAAAAGAGAUAAAAAUUGUACCUAAGACACGGAGCAAACUUUUUGUGUGCUCACACAAUUCAUUCUCUGUUUUCAUGUAGACUUUUGCAUGAUCUGAACCUUCAGCAUAGCAUGUCUUCCAAAAUACUACAAUUUGCUUAUACACUAAAAAACUUAGGGCAAUAAUGUGAAAUAGAGACAUUGGAUGGCUCUUUCCGUAAUAGAUUACAAUGAACUGGUAGGUCUACUUUAAGUGUAAAUUCCCAGCAGCCUGACAAAUAUGAUCUGAAGUGCAAGAAGUUAUAUUUCAUGCAACCUUUUGAAAAGAAAAUGCUGGUGCACCCUAGAUUUUAUUUUUAUUUUUUUUUUCAGUGAGAUACUCCUUAAGCAAUAUAGUCUUUUAAAAGCACAUAUUAUUCUCAGAUAAUUGUUCAUGUUAAGUAUCCUGAAGCAGUGCCAAAGGCACUUAGUGUAUAAACAAGGUCAAUUUCAGAUAAUAUUCCCUGUUAAUGAUCUGAGAGAGCCACAUAAUGGUUCUGCCUGUGAGCUGCCAACAUAGCAAAGACUCAUUUGCCCCCUUUGCUUGCAACCUCUGGAAGUUUUACAAACCAAGGAGAGUGCAGUGCUGGUCAGAUGGACGGACAUGGAAAAUGAUGCGUAGUGAUUCUUCUCUUUAUCCUUCGGUUUCUGCAACAGAGAAGAUGAUGUGGCCAAGCUCAUAAGGAGCAAAUAUUCUUCACCAGCCUGAGGUAGUGCCAUUGAUUUCCAUCUGAACUCUAUGACAUGAAUAGGGAAACCUGCUUAAAAUCAAUGCCACAUUUGAGCCUAGUGCUGUCCCCAAAGCCAGGGAUUCAAAUCACAGUGGGUGUGGCUGAGAGCCCCUUCAAUUUUCUCCUCAGCUGUAAGGCUGGGCACAGAGCUGGGCUGCAGUGCAUCACAUAGCAUUAAGCCACUUCACACAGGACACGAUGCGACCUGACAUAACAUGUUUGGAGGGUUGAAAGAAUGUUAUCUCUGUAUCCACAGGCAUUACGCACCAAGCUACUAAGCCUUAGCAAGCAGGCGGUGAUUCAGGGAAUCAGAGAAUAGGACUUUUCUUUUGGGUAGAUUAUAUUAAGGCAUGGUCAUGAAUCAUUUUUCACUUACGUUACAUAAGUCAUACUAAGAGUCUUAAAAAUUCAGACUUUAUGCCUUUAGAUAGAUUUUUACACCUAACAAGAAUUCACUACCAUGUAGAGAACUUGAACAAGCCCUGGGACUCCAGUGCCAGUACAGAUGUCUGGGUUUGGAAGAGCACUCCUUUUGGUAUUAGAUUAAUGAAAUCCAGGGUCACCAAAUUUGUGAGAUUUUUUUACUUAUAUUAGAAAGUGGUUUAUGCUUCUCACAUAGAGUUAAGCACAGGUGUAGUCCUAUUUAUAUGAUGAGUGAGGAGCAUGCAAGAGACUGAGUGGCAGCCUACUAAAAUUAAUAAAUGUAGAUUCUGUUUCCA